RNAcentral lists this ribosomal RNA (292 nucleotides) under uncultured bacterium. RNAcentral's name for it is "partial 16S ribosomal RNA". It matches the Rfam family "Bacterial small subunit ribosomal RNA", at positions 505 to 796 of the family's 1533-position model. The record is from RNAcentral.
GUGUCAGCCGCCGCGGUAAUACGUAGGGCGCAAGCGUUGUCCGGAUUUAUUGGGCGUAAAGAGCUCGUAGGCGGUCUGUCACGUCGGAUGUGAAAACCCGGAACUCAACUCCGGGCCUGCAUUCGAUACGGGCAGACUUGAGUACUGCAGGGGAGACUGGAAUUCCUGGUGUAGCGGUGGAAUGCGCAGAUAUCAGGAGGAACACCGGUGGCGAAGGCGGGUCUCUGGGCAGAAACUGACGCUGAGGAGCGAAAGCGUGGGGAGCGAACAGGAUUAGAAACCCGAGUAGUCC